This 514-nucleotide ribosomal RNA is filed under the name uncultured bacterium. RNAcentral describes it as "bacterial SSU rRNA". It matches the Rfam family "Bacterial small subunit ribosomal RNA", at positions 8 to 518 of the family's 1533-position model. The record is from RNAcentral.
AGGGUUCGAUUCUGGCUCAGGAUGAACGCUAGCGGCAGGCUUAACACAUGCAAGUCGAGGGGCAGCGGGAUGUAGCAAUACAUUGCCGGCGACCGGCGGGUGGGUGCGUAACGCGUAUGCAACCUACCUUAUACAGGGAAUAACUUUCGAAGGGAGACUAACACCCAUGGUAUUGAUUUAAGGCAUCUUUAGAUUAAUUAAAUAUUUAUAGGUAUAAGAUGGGCAUGCGUAUGAUUAGCUAGUUGGUAAGGUAACGGCUUACCAAGGCGACGAUCAUUAGGGGUUCUGAGAGGAAGGUCCCCCACACUGGUACUAAGACACGGACCAGACUCCUACGGGAGGCAGCAGUGAGGAAUAUUGGUCAAUGGGCGCAAGCCUGAACCAGCCAUGCCGCGUGCAGGAAGACGGCCUUAUGGGUUGUAAACUGCUUUUACAUAAGACUAACCGUAUAUUUGCGAAUAUACCUGAAUGUAUUAUGAGAAUAAGGAUCGGCUAACUCCGUGCCAGCCGCCGC